This 48-nucleotide non-coding RNA is filed under the name Schistosoma mansoni. Lineage: Eukaryota; Metazoa; Platyhelminthes; Trematoda; Strigeidida; Schistosomatidae. The record is from RNAcentral.
AUCCAGCUGUCGACUCCCAAAUAGGACGAAACACGCGUCAAACUGGAU